GCAAAACAGCCCGCCCCGCGCCCGCCGCCUGACUGCCUUCCGGACGCGGGCUCGCGCCUCCCGGGCGCACCUCGGGGCCCGCGGGCCGAGUGUCGCUAGGACGUUUUCCGCAGGCCUAGCAGGCGGACCCCGCGGCUCGGAGCAAGCGGUGCAGGGGCAGGAGCGAUUCCCAUUCGAGGAGUUUGACCUCUCAUUUUAAUACAACACCCGCCUCUUAGAGGCAGCAGACCAGUCCAGCCAGGUCAAGGUGUGGACCGCACAACGGGGUGCACAGGAUUAGUUAAGCAAAGCAGGAACCCAGCUGGAAAAUUAAACGAGCCCUGGAUCUGCAAAGCAGGUCCCUUCGCGAGACCAAAGCCGUGAUCCCAACCUUAGCAACAUAAUUCUACUGGAGGUGUUGAUAUAUAUACUAAUCCAGAACAACCAUGUAGCAAGAGGAAUAAAAUGAAGUUCAGAAGUCUGUUUCGGGAAAUUUUGAAGCCCUUUAGAAAGAAAGAUUUCUACAUUUUGUUACAUGAAAUUCAUGCAAAUAUAUGUCAGGUGCCAGUGCUAUGGAGUUGUUGAAGAAUAAGCACAAUACCAUUUAUUACCACUUCUCAGUUGUAAAGAGGCUGUAACUCUGGUUGUCGAAAUAAAAUAAAAUGAAAUCUCCUAGAUGUGA
Molecule: long non-coding RNA, 661 nt
Filed under: Homo sapiens (human)
Lineage: Eukaryota; Metazoa; Chordata; Mammalia; Primates; Hominidae
Description: HSALNT0339561
Source: RNAcentral